CUACUCUGCUCAAUGAUUUUUUAAAUUGCUGUGGUAUUUUGACUAUACAAAGGUAUUGUAAUAAGAUUUUAAUUGAAUGCUAAAAGAAUGGAAUUACAGGGAAAAACUUUUUUAAAAUUAAAAAUUGAAGUUAUUUCAAUUUGUGAAGAAACAAUUAUAUAAAUUAAGGACAAGAAGACCCUAAGAAUUUAAAAAAUUUAUAUUAAUUAAGUAUUUAAUAUAAAUUUUUUGGUUGGGGCAACCAAAAAAUAUUUUUAACUUUUUAAAAAUAACAUGACCCAUUAUUAAUGAUUAUAUAACAAAAUACUCUAGGGAUAACAGCGUAAUAAUUUUAGAUAGAACAUAUAGACAAAAUAGUUUGCGACCUCGAUGUUGGAUUAGGAUACUUUUUUGAUGAAGAUGUCAAAAAAAGAAGUUGUCACUUAUUCCCAAAUCCUACUUGAUCUGAGUUCAGACCGGA
Molecule: ribosomal RNA, 460 nt
Filed under: Dermacentor auratus
Lineage: Eukaryota; Metazoa; Arthropoda; Arachnida; Ixodida; Ixodidae
Description: partial large subunit ribosomal RNA
Source: RNAcentral